RNAcentral lists this ribosomal RNA (460 nucleotides) under uncultured bacterium. RNAcentral's name for it is "partial 16S ribosomal RNA". It matches the Rfam family "Bacterial small subunit ribosomal RNA", at positions 338 to 795 of the family's 1533-position model. The record is from RNAcentral.
CCUACGGGAGGCUGCAGUGAGGAAUAUUGGUCAAUGGACGAGAGUCUGAACCAGCCAAGUAGCGUGAAGGAUGACUGCCCUAUGGGUUGUAAACUUCUUUUAUAUGGGAAUAAAAUGUUCCACGUGUGGGAUUUUGUAUGUACCAUAUGAAUAAGGAUCGGCUAACUCCGUGCCAGCAGCCGCGGUAAUACGGAGGAUCCGAGCGUUAUACGGAUUUAUUGGGUUUAAAGGGAGCGUAGGUGGAUUGUUAAGUCAGUUGUGAAAGUUUGCGGCUCAACCGUAAAAUUGCAGUUGAAACUGGCAGUCUUGAGUACAGUAGAGGUGGGCGGAAUUCGUGGUGUAGCGGUGAAAUGCUUAGAUAUCACGAAGAACUCCGAUUGCGAAGGCAGUUCACUGGACUGCAACUGACACUGAGGCUCGAAAGUGUGGGUAUCAAACAGGAUUAGAUACCCUUGUAGUC